Non-coding RNA from Pelobates cultripes (western spadefoot toad), 1392 nucleotides. The record is from the annotation of a GenBank genome assembly. Lineage: Eukaryota; Metazoa; Chordata; Amphibia; Anura; Pelobatidae.
CCAUCCUCUUCCAUCCUCUUUAAUUGUUGUCCAGAGAUACAGCUCAAAGGCUAAUUAACUAAUAAUGUCAAGAUUUUGGGACAUAGUUAAAAAACAUAAAAAUCCCCCACCCAUUCUACAUAUACUAUAGAUGCUUCGGACACAGACAUGCAUUGUCUGCUCGGUUAUGAAUUCUAUCAGCCAUAGGCUUUGCACCAUGGAAAGCAAUAAGGAGUAGUUAGCCAAAGUAGAUCACAAAGAGAUUUUUUUCACCGGCAACAUUUCGAUCCAAUCCACAAGGUCGUUAUCAAACCUUGAUAAAGACCCUGAGGUUGGGUCGAAACGUUACCGCUUCAAUACAGUUGAAAUAAAUCUCUUUAUGAUCUACUUUGGUGCUGUGGCUCCUUAUGGCUUUCUAUACUGUCUGUGAGGUAAUUGGAAGGAGAUUUUAGAGAUUUGUUAAACAUGAACUUGUCUGUAGCAAUGCUAUAUUGAGCAGAACUGUGGAAUCAGCUCUGUUCUGUUAAAACCAAAGAAAACCCCCCAGAUGUUGUAUUUAUGUUACACUUCCCAUUUUAUUAGCUUCCUUCUUUUCUCAGAAACAACACUGUUUUUAUCUGUAAGGCUGUAUCUAUGCCCAAAAAUGAUUUUUAUUAUAGGGACACUCCACGGACCAAAUACAAAAUAAAUAAAUCAAUAUUUAGUAAAUAUACCCCAAAUAAAACUUAAAUGCAUUUUUUAAUUUGGGGUAUGUAUAUAUAUAUAUAUACACUGCUCAAAAAAAUAAAGGGAACACUUAAACAACACAAUGUAACUCCAAGUCAAUCACACUUCUGUGAAAUCAAACUGCCCACUUAGGAAGCAACACUGAGUGACAGUCAAUUUCACAUGCUGUUGUGCAAAUGGGAUAGACAACAGGUGGAAAUUAUAGGCAAUUAGCAAGACACCCCCAAUAAAGGAGUGGUUCUGCAGGUGGUGACCACAGACCACUUCUCAGUUCCUAUGCUUCCUGGCUGAUGUUUUGGUCACUUUUGAAUGCUGGCGGUGCUUUCACUCUAGUGGUAGCAUGAGACGGAGUCUACAACCCACACAAGUGGCUCAGGUAGUGCAGCUCAUCCAGGAUGGCACAUCAAUGCGAACUGUGGCAAGAAGGUUUGCUGUUGUAACGGACCGUUUUGCACACAAGAGGUUAAAAACUGUUUAGGCGAUAUUCUCCUUUUCAGAUGCACAGGCAGCUACUGCAAUCACCCAAAUCUGCAAACACACGAAUUCACCAAUCCCCCGAACUGCAAACACAUGAAAACUCCAACUCCCGAACAGGAAACACACGAAUGCGGUAAACAGCCAAACAGGAAACACACGAAUGCUGUAAACAGCCGAACAGGAAAAACCAUACGAACAGUUUACACUCCU